Molecule: ribosomal RNA, 497 nt
Filed under: uncultured bacterium
Lineage: Bacteria
Description: partial 16S ribosomal RNA
Rfam family: Bacterial small subunit ribosomal RNA
Source: RNAcentral
GAUGAACGCUGGCGGCGUGCCUAACACAUGCAAGUCGAGCGAACGGACGCGAAGUUUGUUUCUCUGAUGUUAGGGGCGGACGGGAGAGUCACAUGUGUAUACUCCCCCUAUCAGUCUGGGAUCACUUCGGGAAACCGGCUCUUACACCGGAUAAUAUUUUGAACCGCAUGGUUCAAUAGUGAAAGACGGUCUUGGUGUCACUUAUAGAUGGAUCCGAGCUGCUUUAGCUAGUUGGUAAGGUAACGGCUUACCAAGGCAACGAUGCAUAGCCGACCUGAGAGGGUGAUCGGCCACACUGGAACUGAGACACGGACCAGACUCCUACGGGAGGCAGCAGUAGGGAACCUUCCGCAAUGGUCGAAAGCCUGACGGAGCAACGCCGCGUGGGUGAUGAAGGUCUUCGGAUCGUAAAGCUCUGUUAUUAGGGAAGAACAGAUGUGGAAGUAACUGUGGACAUCGUGACGGUACCGGAUCAAGAAGCCACGGCUAACUACGUG